RNAcentral lists this non-coding RNA (232 nucleotides) under Carnobacterium iners. RNAcentral describes it as "T-box sequence". It matches the Rfam family "T-box leader". Rfam says of the family: Uncharged tRNA acts as the effector for transcription antitermination of genes in the T-box leader family. T-boxes are found upstream of many aminoacyl-tRNA synthetase genes and some amino acid biosynthetic genes usually in Gram-positive bacteria. The record is from RNAcentral. Lineage: Bacteria; Bacillati; Bacillota; Bacilli; Lactobacillales; Carnobacteriaceae.
AAAAAAGCAAUGAACAAGAGAAGUAGUUUUGUUACAUGGUUAUCCAGAGAAAAGAGCAGAUGCUGAGAGUUCUUGACCAAAAUAAAAUGAAAGUAGCUUGGGAGCUAACAAGGUGAAUGUACAGUAACUUUGUUCGGAAUGACGUUUCGUUAAAAACGUGAAGAGAGGUAUAUUUCUUGUGGAGAUAUACAAAAUAGGUGGUACCGCGAAUUAAAAAGCAUUCGUCCUAAUA